Zingiber officinale is the source of this 1083-nucleotide long non-coding RNA. RefSeq lists it as uncharacterized. The record is from RefSeq and is a predicted model, not a curated record. NCBI's taxonomy places the organism in Eukaryota, Viridiplantae, Streptophyta, Magnoliopsida, Zingiberales, Zingiberaceae. The transcript has 7 exons.
AUAAUCCUUCUCCUUUAACCCGACGCAUCUCUCCCGACCCCCUCUCCUCGGUUCCCAUCGCGCGAUCUCCGACGAUUAGGCAUCGACGCCGACGACCAUCUCCUCGCGCUACCGCCUCCUCUCCACUCUCCCUCCUUAGGCGAGGAAUCUUCCUCCCUCUCCCUCUCAAGGUGUGGAGCCUUUCUCCUCUCCUUCUCUUCCCCAAUUCAUUGCCCCCUCGACAACCUCUCUGUUCGAUCCAUUCUUCAUCGACGACGACGCCACAAGGAAGCCGAUCGCCGGCAACCGGUUGUCAAAUUUGAGUGGGGCGGCAGCAAUUUGGGUCAAGGAGGUCCUGCUCUUCUUCCUCACCAGAUCUUGGAUAGAGGGAUCCAACAUUGUCUAUCUCCCUUCACUGGGGCCUAAUUUGUUGCCGGCGAAGUUUCUGUGAGGCCAAUGAUUGGGACUUUCUCCUCACUUGCCACCUCCAGGGGAUGAACAUUCAAGGUAUUCCAUCUAGGAGAGAUCUUGGAUAUGGUACAAGGGAGUUCUUGGUGGCUGUGGGCAAAGGUUAGUAGGGGAUGUGAGCUCUUGAUUUGUGGCCAUGCCUCAAGGUUAUGUCUGGUUUAGAGCACAUGGAAGCGUGUAGAAGGAUUUGUUGUAGUUUUGGCCAGGAGUUUCCAGUAUCAUGCUUCUUCGGAUGAGUCAACAUUGAAGUCUCUGGAUUUGGGACCUUGAUAUGAGAUGAUUAUCACGACGUGAGAUUUAUUUUGGACACGAUCUACAGAUAAAGGUAGAUGGUUGGAGUGUCGCUCGGAGUAUCCUGUCUGCCGGGUCCUACCUCACAUCCGAUGAUUGUUUCUGGUUUUGUAUAAGUUGUAUUUGUAUUCGGUAUUUGUUGUAUUUGGUGUGUUGUUGUAUUUGUUGUUGUGGUUGUUGUAUAAAGCCUAGCUGGCUAGUAGUGUGUUGGUUGUUGUAUUGGGCUUUUCGUUAUCGUUUUUCCGCUGUGUUGGUUUAAUACAGCCGAGUGGGCUGUCUAUUGUAUAUAUAUAACUGCGUGAUUGUGUUUUAUUCUUGUUUAAGCAUAGUGGGCUGAUUUUAUAA